Molecule: long non-coding RNA, 478 nt
Filed under: Rattus norvegicus (Norway rat)
Lineage: Eukaryota; Metazoa; Chordata; Mammalia; Rodentia; Muridae
Description: long non-coding RNA NONRATT029561
Source: RNAcentral
UAAUUACACAAAUGACAGGGAAAGAGCUGUUUGAGAUGUGGACCAUCGUAAAUCCCAUGGGACUCCUCGUAGAGGAGCUGAAGAAGAGAAACAUCUCAGCUCCUGAGUCCAGACUCACCAGGCAGUCUGGAAGCACAACUGCUUUGCCUUUAUAUUUUGUUGGCUUAUACUGGUUAGUGAAAAAUUCAUUCUUCACUUUUUAACUUUGAUUGGAGACCUUAAAGAUAUAGACUCACAGUUGUUAAGUGUUACUUCUAAUAACAUUAAAAUCCUAUCUCUGAGCUGGGUGUGGGGGUACAUGUCAUUAAUGUAGGCUAGCAUUUAUGAGGUAGAGGCAAGCAGAUCUCUGUGAGUUUGAGCCCAGACUGUCUAUAGAAAGGCCACCCAGAACUACACAGCGAGACUCUGGUGGGGUGGGGUGGAUACGAUCAUUAUCUGGUUUUUGUUAUUGGUAGUGGUGGUGGUGGUAGGUUUUUUG